This 759-nucleotide long non-coding RNA is filed under the name Nicotiana tabacum (common tobacco). RNAcentral's name for it is "long non-coding RNA (NTAB_LNC014237)". Lineage: Eukaryota; Viridiplantae; Streptophyta; Magnoliopsida; Solanales; Solanaceae. The record is from RNAcentral.
AAAUUCCUUGAAGAAAUAAUCUUGGCUCUUUGCCAUUUUCUUUACAUAGGGCUUAGUCCUCUUGUCCAUUGCUAGUUGGUGGUCAACUAACAUCAAGCCCUUGUUCUCCAAUAUGUUUCUGUAGUAGUUGUUGUCUAGCUUCAUUGGUGUGCCUCUGUCAUUUCUCACAUAUUGCACAGCCUUUGGGUCUGGGAUUGGGUCAGGACAUUUCUUGAGCAUGUGAGGAACAUGGUCUGGGUUGAGUUGAGGGUCUACUUCUGGAUACAAACGGUGAACCAACUUCACACAGUGUGUUCUUCCCACACUGUGAGCCCCUGUUCAAGACCAAAUGACACAAAAUAAGCUUUGAUUUUUUCACUCAGAUAACAAUUAAAAAAAGUACCAGUGUACUAAGCUCCCGCUAUACAAACAACUAUGCAAGGGUCAGACCACGUUUGGUCUAUUGUACGAAGUCUUAGACUGUUUCCAUGACUUGAAACAAUGACCUUAUGGUCCCGUGAACACAACUUUUACCGUUGUGCAAGGCUCCCCUUCACAGUCAAAUACCAAUAGAACCAAGAAAUUUGAAGUGCUCUCUUUUUGUUUGUUGGGGUUUGGGGGGAUGUCUACAGUACCUAGCAAGGCAACAACUCCAGGAGUGUUGAUACCAACAUUGGCAAACCUCUCAAGAACAACACUCAUGCUUUCAUUGUGGUCUGGGAGGUGUUGCUCAAGAAUGUCUGCUCUGCUCUUCCUUCCAUCUCUUCUUCCUGUUUUGAG